UCAUGGGGGUAGGAACGCGACUGGGCUGCCUCCGGAAGUGAGAGCCCCGAGGCACGUUCGUGGGAUAUCGUGCCCCGAGCCUCAGGCCCGUGCGUGCGUGAGGAGCGGAGAAGGGCGAUUUGGGGUUCAGGCCUGGCUUCUCUGGACUCUGCUUCUGCAGUGGAGGGAACCCACAGAGGACUGACAAGUUCUUACAGUUCUAAAAUCAUGGCCCAUGUGUCCUUGGCAUUCAAGGAUGUGGCCAUAGAUCUUUCUCAAGAGGAGUGGGAGUGCCUGGACACUGCUCAGAGGGACUUGUACAGGGAUGUGAUGUUGGAAAACUACAGCAACCUCAUCUCACUGGGAUGUAUCAUUCCUAAGCCAGAUGUGAUUGUUUUAUUGGAGCAAGAGAAAGAUCCGUGGCUGGAAACGAGGGAAGAAACAAGAAGGCAGUCCUCAGUUUUUGGCAGACACAACAUCGUUGUUUGUAUGUGGUGCUGAAGAUCGAACCUGGGCCGCACGCAUGCCAGGCGAGCCUGACAAUUUAUGAAAUGGUGGUUGGUGACAAUCCUUGGUGUUCCUUAGCUUGGCCGUCUCAUCUUUAGACACCAGAUACAAGAGACAAUGAUGUAAUCUUCAUCUCACUCUAGGUACACCUAUUAUUUCAGAUGAUUGCAUCUUGAGAUCUUUAACUUGAUAACAUCUGUAAAGACUUUUCAAAUUAGGUCACUUUCACAGGUACCAGGAGUUAGGACUUGGAUAUCUUUUCUGGAGGCCACUAUUCAACCCACUUCAUCUAUGAAUAAAGACUUAUUUUCUUCCUGAU
This is a non-coding RNA of Marmota flaviventris (yellow-bellied marmot), 805 nucleotides long. NCBI's taxonomy places the organism in Eukaryota, Metazoa, Chordata, Mammalia, Rodentia, Sciuridae. The record is from RefSeq and is a predicted model, not a curated record.